RNAcentral lists this ribosomal RNA (228 nucleotides) under Symbiodinium sp. clade D. RNAcentral describes it as "partial Eukaryotic large subunit ribosomal RNA". It matches the Rfam family "Eukaryotic large subunit ribosomal RNA", at positions 103 to 324 of the family's 3401-position model. Lineage: Eukaryota; Dinophyceae; Suessiales; Symbiodiniaceae. The record is from RNAcentral.
AAGAGCUCAAAUUUAAAAUCUGGCAGGCUACGCUUGUCCGAAUUGUAAUCUCGAGAAGUGUUUUCCGCGUUGGCCUGUGUACAAGUCCCUUGGAACAGGGCGUCAUAGAGGGUGAGAAUCCCGUCCUUGACACAGACACCCAAUGCUUUGUGAUACACUCUCAAUGAGUCGAGUUGUUUGGGAAUGCAGCUCAAAAUGGGUGGUAAAUUCCAUCUAAAGCUAAAUACU